CAAGGCCUCCCGCGAGGGGAUCUCCACGACGACCUGCCGCUACCCGACGACGUGCUCGCCGACCUCCUCCGCCGUCUCGCGCCGCAAUCGCUCGCCGCGGCGCGGUGCGUCCGCAAGGCCUGGCGCCGCACCAUCGACGAGCGCCAUCUUCUUCGCGCGGACAAGCUCCCACUCUCGCUCGCCGGCAUCUUCAUCCAGUUUGACUACCAUGUGUUCCCCGAGUUCUUCGCCCGCCCCUCUUCCUCGGCUCAUGCGGCGGUCAACACCAAGCUCGACUUCUUGCCUCGCCCCAGCUAUCCCUUUGGUGAGGUAGGCGACUUAGUCUUCCAAGACUAUUUCGUUCAAGACCACUGCAAUGGGCUCCUCUUGACCUACGGGUACGUGGUUAACCCUGCCACACGGUGCUGGGAUCCUUUUACUCCACACCCUUACCCGACCGAUCCAAUGGGGGUCACCAAUUUAUCGAGGGAUUAUCUAGCCUUCGAUCCCGCCGUGUCGCCCCACUACCAGGUGUUAAGCAUCCCCUAUUUGCACGAGGAGAGCACCUACAAGAGCAUGGUCGCUCGCGGUUCCGCUCAAUUAGACCCCUUAAUGGAGAAAUCCGAAUGGCCACCAUCUACAUUCAUCCUAUAUGUCUUCUCAUCAAGAUCAGGUCAGUGGGAGAGAAGGUCUUUUGCGAGACAAGUAAUGCUGCAGGGGUUGUAG
This 705-nucleotide ribosomal RNA is filed under the name Triticum aestivum (bread wheat). RNAcentral's name for it is "partial small subunit ribosomal RNA". Lineage: Eukaryota; Viridiplantae; Streptophyta; Magnoliopsida; Poales; Poaceae. The record is from RNAcentral.